RNAcentral lists this ribosomal RNA (555 nucleotides) under uncultured bacterium. RNAcentral's name for it is "partial 16S ribosomal RNA". It matches the Rfam family "Bacterial small subunit ribosomal RNA", at positions 355 to 902 of the family's 1533-position model. The record is from RNAcentral.
UGGGGAAUUUUGGACAAUGGGGGAAACCCUGAUCCAGCCAUCCCGCGUGUGCGAUGAAGGCCUUCGGGUUGUAAAGCACUUUUGGCAGGAAAGAAACGUCGCGGGUUAAUACCCCGCGAAACUGACGGUACCUGCAGAAUAAGCACCGGCUAACUACGUGCCAGCAGCCGCGGUAAUACGUAGGGUGCAAGCGUUAAUCGGAAUUACUGGGCGUAAAGCGUGCGCAGGCGGUUCGGAAAGAAAGAUGUGAAAUCCCAGAGCUUAACUUUGGAACUGCAUUUUUAACUACCGGGCUAGAGUGUGUCAGAGGGAGGUGGAAUUCCGCGUGUAGCAGUGAAAUGCGUAGAUAUGCGGAGGAACACCGAUGGCGAAGGCAGCCUCCUGGGAUAACACUGACACUCAUGCACGAAAGCGUGGGGAGCAAACAGGAUUAGAUACCCUGGUAGUCCACGCCCUAAACGAUGUCAACUAGCUGUUGGGGCCUUCGGGCCUUGGUAGCGCAGCUAACGCGUGAAGUUGACCGCCUGGGGAGUACGGUCGCAAGAUUAAAAACUC